CCUACGGGAGGCAGCAGUGAGGAAUAUUGGUCAAUGGACGAGAGUCUGAACCAGCCAAGUAGCGUGAAGGAUGACUGCCCUAUGGGUUGUAAACUUCUUUUAUAUGGGAAUAAAAUGUUCCACGUGUGGGAUUUUGUAUGUACCAUAUGAAUAAGGAUCGGCUAACUCCGUGCCAGCAGCCGCGGUAAUACGGAGGAUCCGAGCGUUAUCCGGAUUUAUUGGGUUUACAGGGAGCGUAGGGGGAUUGUUAAGUCAGUUGUGAAAGUUUGCGGCUCAACCGUAAAAUUGCAGUUGAAACGGGCAGUCUUGAUUACAGUAGCGGUGGGCGGAAUUCGUGGUGUAGCGGUUACAUUCUUAGCUAUCACGAAGAACUCCGAUUGCGAAGGCAGCUCACUGGACUGCACCUGCCACUGAGGCUCGACAGUGUGGGUAUCAAACAGGAUUAGCUACCCUAGUAGUC
This 460-nucleotide ribosomal RNA is filed under the name uncultured bacterium. RNAcentral describes it as "partial 16S ribosomal RNA". It matches the Rfam family "Bacterial small subunit ribosomal RNA", at positions 338 to 795 of the family's 1533-position model. The record is from RNAcentral.